RNAcentral lists this ribosomal RNA (1360 nucleotides) under Chryseobacterium rhizoplanae. Its description in RNAcentral is "bacterial SSU rRNA". It matches the Rfam family "Bacterial small subunit ribosomal RNA", at positions 84 to 1457 of the family's 1533-position model. Lineage: Bacteria; Pseudomonadati; Bacteroidota; Flavobacteriia; Flavobacteriales; Weeksellaceae. The record is from RNAcentral.
GGAUCUUGAGAGCGGCGUACGGGUGCGGAACACGUGUGCAACCUGCCUUUAUCUGGGGGAUAGCCUUUCGAAAGGAAGAUUAAUACCCCAUAAUAUAAGAAACGGCAUCGUUUUUUAUUGAAAACUCCGGUGGAUAGAGAUGGGCACGCGCAAGAUUAGAUAGUUGGUGAGGUAACGGCUCACCAAGUCUACGAUCUUUAGGGGGCCUGAGAGGGUGAUCCCCCACACUGGUACUGAGACACGGACCAGACUCCUACGGGAGGCAGCAGUGAGGAAUAUUGGACAAUGGGUGAGAGCCUGAUCCAGCCAUCCCGCGUGAAGGACGACUGCCCUAUGGGUUGUAAACUUCUUUUGUAUAGGGAUAAACCUACCCUCGUGAGGGUAGCUGAAGGUACUAUACGAAUAAGCACCGGCUAACUCCGUGCCAGCAGCCGCGGUAAUACGGAGGGUGCAAGCGUUAUCCGGAUUUAUUGGGUUUAAAGGGUCCGUAGGCGGAUUUGUAAGUCAGUGGUGAAAUCUCACAGCUUAACUGUGAAACUGCCAUUGAUACUGCAAGUCUUGAGUGUUGUUGAAGUAGCUGGAAUAAGUAGUGUAGCGGUGAAAUGCAUAGAUAUUACUUAGAACACCAAUUGCGAAGGCAGGUUACUAAGCAACAACUGACGCUGAUGGACGAAAGCGUGGGGAGCGAACAGGAUUAGAUACCCUGGUAGUCCACGCCGUAAACGAUGCUAACUCGUUUUUGGGUUUUUAAGAUUCAGAGACUAAGCGAAAGUGAUAAGUUAGCCACCUGGGGAGUACGUUCGCAAGAAUGAAACUCAAAGGAAUUGACGGGGGCCCGCACAAGCGGUGGAUUAUGUGGUUUAAUUCGAUGAUACGCGAGGAACCUUACCAAGGCUUAAAUGGGAAAUGACAGGUUUAGAAAUAGACUUUUCUUCGGACAUUUUUCAAGGUGCUGCAUGGUUGUCGUCAGCUCGUGCCGUGAGGUGUUAGGUUAAGUCCUGCAACGAGCGCAACCCCUGUCACUAGUUGCCAUCAUUAAGUUGGGGACUCUAGUGAGACUGCCUACGCAAGUAGAGAGGAAGGUGGGGAUGACGUCAAAUCAUCACGGCCCUUACGCCUUGGGCCACACACGUAAUACAAUGGCCGGUACAGAGGGCAGCUACACAGCGAUGUGAUGCAAAUCUCGAAAGCCGGUCUCAGUUCGGAUUGGAGUCUGCAACUCGACUCUAUGAAGCUGGAAUCGCUAGUAAUCGCGCAUCAGCCAUGGCGCGGUGAAUACGUUCCCGGGCCUUGUACACACCGCCCGUCAAGCCAUGGAAGUCUGGGGUACCUGAAGUCGGUGACCGUAACAGGAGCUGCC